CUCAGUUGAUUAGAUGUUGUCUAGGACUGCAUUUUCUUUGGAAAGACCAAGCAAUGUGCAUGCCAAUCAGAUCUGUGGCUUUGAACAAUAGGUGACAGGUUGUGUUUUCAAUUGAUUCAUGGUCUGUUGUUUUUUAAAAACGCUUGGCACAUCCUCAACAAAAUCCUGAUUAAACGAUAGGCUUGGCAUAUCUUAUUUAUCACUGUGGUUGCUUUUAUCCGCAACUGAUUUCUCUGAUUCCUCUCCCAUGCUGAAUUGUUUUGGGCAAUUCCCGAAGGCCUUAUGUUUUAUGUUAUUGGGAACUGCAGGACACCCAGCGAGUGUUUAGGAUCCCAGACAGGGCAGUUCUUGACAUGCUCCUGGCACACCUUGGACUAUCACCAGCUCUUUUGCACAUACAUGUGAUGUGGUACAUUCUUUCUCUUCAUGUUUUAAGAAAUUACUUUAGGAUACUUCAUGUUUUACUGUUAUUCUCUAUGAUCAUUAGAUUUUCAUUUUGCAUUGUUAUCCUGUCACUAGAUAGUGUCUUGUAGCCUGUUUUCCUGAUGUUUAUUUGAAUAUGUUUUCUUUUAUCCACAGAUGAAGCCCAUCCAUUUGUCCGUUCUUCGUCAGGGUCACAAAGUCUUUGUGCCAGGAUUCUUCCCUUUGUAAAUAUGAAAGCGUGUAUGAUCUAUUCACAGACUUGCUCUGCUGCUUUGUAGCCCAACUGAUUAUGUACUCUUGAUCGUCCUCAUGGCAUCUGUCAACUCCAUUGUGAAUCAUCUCUUUAUCCUAAGGCUGUACUCGCUAUGCUAGAAUGAUAGAUGAUAUAGUAAAUACAUCUUUUCUUUUUACAAGGCUCAUAUCGUAAGGAUUGUCGUGUCCUGUGAACCAAGUUCAGUAUGUUGUCUAUUAGAUAUAUUCCUAUUUCUUGUUUAGAAUGUGAUGCUCCAGUUCAGAUAAUCAGUACUGCAUAUUUUGGCUGAUAUUUCUACUACAGAGCACUUGGUGGCGAUGGAUAAGUGUCGGACGCGAUGGGUUUCUUGUUUGAAGAGAUUUGCAUUGUUGACUAUUAUAGACUUUUUCUGUGUAACUUAAAAAGUGUUAACAUAUUUUUAAAAUAUUACUAUAAAUUUGAAAUCUGUUCACAUGUUUCAAAAUUGUUCGUUCAAUUUUAGAAGUGUCUGCACAUCUAUAUCGCGCUCAUAUCAUAUUCUUCACUGCAUGUUAUCUAUUAUGAUUGCAUAUAUUAAACUUGGGUUAAUACUGACUUAGAAUUACCUGUUUCGAAAAUGUUGGGACCGGCACCCUCGCGCCAGGGCGCAAACCCGAUCUAGUAGGUGUU
This 1324-nucleotide long non-coding RNA is filed under the name Triticum aestivum (bread wheat). RNAcentral describes it as "long non-coding RNA (TAES_LNC012643)". Lineage: Eukaryota; Viridiplantae; Streptophyta; Magnoliopsida; Poales; Poaceae. The record is from RNAcentral.